This 324-nucleotide ribosomal RNA is filed under the name uncultured eukaryote. RNAcentral's name for it is "partial 18S ribosomal RNA". It matches the Rfam family "Eukaryotic small subunit ribosomal RNA", at positions 1470 to 1796 of the family's 1831-position model. The record is from RNAcentral.
CCCUUAGAUGUUCUGGGCCGCACGCGCGCUACACUGAUGCAUUCAACGAGUCUAAAACCUGCUCUGAUAGGGGUGGGUAAUCUUUUGAAUGUGCAUCGUGAUUGGGAUAGAUGAUUGAAAUUUUUCAUCUUCAACGAGGAAUGCCUAGUAAACGCAAGUCAUCAGCUUGCAUUGAUUACGUCCCUGCCCUUUGUACACACCGCCCGUCGCUCCUACCGAUUGAAUGUUCCGGUGAGCUCUUCGGACUGCGCGGUCUGCAGUUUCUGCGUUCCGUGCGGAAAGUUGCGCAAACCUUAACAUUUAGAGGAAGGAGAAGUCGUAACA